GGAUGACAAAUGGCAGUGGAGGAACCAGAGAGGGUUUCCAUCCUCUGGAUCGCAGUAUGGGCUUGGGGUUUGCUGUAAUUCCACGGGCAAAAUUGAUUAAUCAGUGCUAUUCCUUCACUUUCCUCAAAGGGAAGCCUUUGAGAGUCCUUGGAUUUUCACGUUCCCCCAUUGCUUCAACAGGAGCGUAGCUGUAAUAUCUUUUUCUCCUGUUCUCAGGUUAGUUUUCAGUCCUUAAGAUUGUUCAUUGAGAUGAUGAAACGACAAGACUUUGUGCUACUGAAAGCGCUGCAUGAAUGUCUCUGUGAAAUCUCCCUUGUUGCAGAACUGAUGAUGUGAGGAAAGUCCUUUGUCAUCAAAGGGGUUCUGAUCAUUCCACCUAUGGAAGGGAAUGUUUGUUUCGGAAAAAUC
Molecule: long non-coding RNA, 408 nt
Organism: Strigops habroptila (Kakapo)
Lineage: Eukaryota; Metazoa; Chordata; Aves; Psittaciformes; Psittacidae
Exons: 2
Source: RefSeq, a predicted model, not a curated record